GAUGAACGCUGACAGAAUGCUUAACACAUGCAAGUCAACUUGAACUUCGGUUUGGGUGGCGGACGGGUGAGUAACGCGUAAAGAACUUGCCUCACAGAUAGGGACAACAUUUGGAAACGAAUGCUAAUACCUGAUAUUAUGAUUAUAUGGCAUCGUAUAAUUAUGAAAGCUAUAUGCGCUGUGAGAGAGCUUUGCGUCCCAUUAGCUAGUUGGAGAGGUAACGGCUCACCAAGGCGAUGAUGGGUAGCCGGCCUGAGAGGGUGAUCGGCCACAAGGGGACUGAGACACGGCCCUUACUCCUACGGGAGGCAGCAGUGGGGAAUAUUGGACAAUGGACCAAGAGUCUGAUCCAGCAAUUCUGUGUGCACGAUGAAGUUUUUCGGAAUGUAAAGUGCUUUCAGUUGGGAAGAAAAAAAUGACGGUACCAACAGAAGAAGUGACGGCUAAAUACGUGCCAGCAGCCGCGGUAAUACGUAGGGGGCUAGCGUUAUCCGGAUUUACUGGGCGUAAAGGGUGCGUAGGUGGUCCUUCAAGUCGGUGGUUAAAGGCUACGGCUCAACCGUAGUAAGCCGCCGAAACUGGAGGACUUGAGUGCAGGAGAGGAAAGUGGAAUUCCCAGUGUAGCGGUGAAAUGCGUAGAUAUUGGGAGGAACACCAGUAGCGAAGGCGGCUUUCUGGACUGCAACUGACACUGAGGCACGAAAGCGUGGGUAGCAAACAGG
RNAcentral lists this ribosomal RNA (722 nucleotides) under uncultured Fusobacterium sp. RNAcentral's name for it is "bacterial SSU rRNA". It matches the Rfam family "Bacterial small subunit ribosomal RNA", at positions 28 to 776 of the family's 1533-position model. The record is from RNAcentral. Lineage: Bacteria; Fusobacteriati; Fusobacteriota; Fusobacteriia; Fusobacteriales; Fusobacteriaceae.